GGCUUUGUGGAGAACAAAUUGUCUCAGCACUUUGCCACCUCAAUGUCGGCUCAGCACAUGAUCCUACAGGUGAAGAAGCUUGUAAGGGUUAGACUUUUUGUCUAGUAAAGUGCUAUGUGAGCUGGGUUCAGUACAACGUGAGUCAGUAC
Molecule: non-coding RNA, 149 nt
Filed under: Melampsora larici-populina 98AG31
Lineage: Eukaryota; Fungi; Basidiomycota; Pucciniomycetes; Pucciniales; Melampsoraceae
Description: Bacterial large subunit ribosomal RNA
Rfam family: Bacterial large subunit ribosomal RNA
Source: Rfam by way of RNAcentral